UAGUGUAGAGUAGAGUAGAGUAGUGUAGAGUAGAGUAGAGUAGAGUAGAGUAGAGUAGAGUAGAGUAGUGUAGAGUAGAGUAGAGUAGAGUAGUAUAGAGUAGAGUAGAGUAGAGUAGAGUAGAGUAGAGUAGAGUAGAGUAGAGUAGAGUAGAGUAGAGUAGAGUAGAGUAGUGUAGAGUAGAGUAGAGUAGUGUAGAGUAGAGUAGAGUAGAGUAGAGUAGAGUAGAGUAGAGUAGAGUAGUGGAGAGUAGUGUAGUGUGGAGUAGAGUAGAGUAGAGUAGUGUAUAGUAUAGUACAGUAAAGUAGAGUAGUGUAUAGU
Oncorhynchus tshawytscha (Chinook salmon) is the source of this 321-nucleotide long non-coding RNA. Lineage: Eukaryota; Metazoa; Chordata; Actinopteri; Salmoniformes; Salmonidae. The record is from Ensembl.